This 270-nucleotide ribosomal RNA is filed under the name uncultured archaeon. RNAcentral's name for it is "partial 16S ribosomal RNA". It matches the Rfam family "Archaeal small subunit ribosomal RNA", at positions 477 to 747 of the family's 1478-position model. The record is from RNAcentral.
CAGCCCCUCGAGUGGUGGGGAUGAUUAUUUGGCCUAAAGCGUCCGUAGCCGGCCGAGUAAGUCCCCCGUUAAAUCCAGCGUCUCAAGCGUUGGACUGCGGGAGAUACUACUUGGCUAGAGAGUGGGAGAGGUCAGCGGUAUUCUGGGGGUAGGGGCGAAAUCCUUUGAUCCCCGGAGGACCACCAGUGGCGAAGGCUGCUGACUAGAACACGUCUGACGGUCAGGGACGAAAGCUGGGGUAGCGAACCGGAUUAGAUACCCGAGUAGUCC